Molecule: non-coding RNA, 84 nt
Organism: Hypoxylon cercidicola
Lineage: Eukaryota; Fungi; Ascomycota; Sordariomycetes; Xylariales; Hypoxylaceae
Source: the annotation of a GenBank genome assembly
GCCGCACUAGAGAAAUGGUUAACUCGUCAGCCUUCUAGAUGCAUAGCAAGCCGAAGAUUCUGGGUUCGAGUCCCAGGUGCGGUU